RNAcentral lists this ribosomal RNA (253 nucleotides) under uncultured bacterium. Its description in RNAcentral is "partial 16S ribosomal RNA". It matches the Rfam family "Bacterial small subunit ribosomal RNA", at positions 524 to 776 of the family's 1533-position model. The record is from RNAcentral.
UACGGAGGAUCCAAGCGUUAUCCGGAUUUAUUGGGUUUAAAGGGUGCGUAGGCGGCGUUGUAAGUCAGUGGUGAAAGUUUUCAGCUUAACUGGAAAAUUGCCAUUGAUACUGCAGUGCUUGAGUACAGAUGAGGUGGGCGGAAUGUGUCAUGUAGCGGUGAAAUGCAUAGAUAUGACACAGAACACCAAUUGCGAAGGCAGCUCACUAAGCUGUAACUGACGCUGAGGCACGAAAGCGUGGGGAUCAAACAGG